AAAUUGAAGAGUUUGAUCAUGGCUCAGAUUGAACGCUGGCGGCAGGCCUAACACAUGCAAGUCGAACGGUAACAGGAAGCAGCUUGCUGCUUCGCUGACGAGUGGCGGACGGGUGAGUAAUGUCUGGGAAACUGCCUGAUGGAGGGGGAUAACUACUGGAAACGGUAGCUAAUACCGCAUAAUGUCGCAAGACCAAAGAGGGGGACCUUCGGGCCUCUUGCCAUCGGAUGUGCCCAGGUGGGAUUAGCUUGUUGGUGGGGUAACGGCUCACC
Molecule: ribosomal RNA, 272 nt
Filed under: Escherichia coli
Lineage: Bacteria; Pseudomonadati; Pseudomonadota; Gammaproteobacteria; Enterobacterales; Enterobacteriaceae
Description: partial 16S ribosomal RNA
Rfam family: Bacterial small subunit ribosomal RNA
Source: RNAcentral